Long non-coding RNA from Ictalurus punctatus (channel catfish), 1041 nucleotides. The record is from Ensembl. NCBI's taxonomy places the organism in Eukaryota, Metazoa, Chordata, Actinopteri, Siluriformes, Ictaluridae.
AAAGAUCUCAAAACGUUUUAUUAUUUCUACACUAAUACAGUGAUGUAGCUCUGCAUUAAGAUAAUCGGUGCGUUUACAUGGACAACAAUAACCAGUAUUAACCCGAUUAAGACGAUACUCUGAUUAAGAAACUAGCCUGUAAACAGCGAUUCUUAAUAACCUUAAUCCGAUUAAGGUCAUACUCGGAGUAAACACAAAUUGAAUUAAGACGUGUGGAGUAUUCCUGUUUUAUUCGCGUCAUCGACGUGUAUUAUAGACAUGUACACACCUUAAUCACAUUAUUAACGUCGCGUGAGAGUUUUCACUGCAUUUUGCGACAGGACACGUACACACACGGCAACGCUCAACCGUUUGACGGCAAACAAGAGAGCACGGCUGCGUCCCAAACCGCGUACUUGCCUACUAUAGGCCUGCAGUAGGAGAAAUACAUAUAUCUCGGCUACUAUAUAGACGGUAAGUACGCGGUUUGGGACGCAGCCCACGGUUUUAAGCGGUCGUCUGUUUGCACGUACGGCACGACAAAUAAUUAACCGCACUGGAAGCGUCCGUAAAAAUUUUAAAUAAAAACACCCAAAACUGUACACGGUCCCAUAACGAAGACGGACUGUAUAUCGAUACGUGAAAUUCUGGAGGGACGUCGGACGGCGUGGCGCGGGGACGUAAUGACGUGCGCCGUUAAUCCAUCCAUGUUCUAUAACAUGUAAAACUGGAACAUGAGAGGAGUAUUCUAAAAGCCACUCAUGUAAACACCUUAAUCACAAUAUUGUCUUACUCUGAGUAAGAUAAUAUUGUGAUUAAGGUGUUUACAUGAGUCGCUUUUAGAAUACUCCUGUCAUGUUCCCGUUUUACAUGUUUUAGAACAUAAUUCGAUUAACAGCCCGCGUCGUUACGUCACCGCGCCACGACGUCCCUCCAGAAUUUCACGUAUCAACGUACAGUUCGCCUUCGUUAUGGGACCGUAUACGGUUUUGCGUGUUUUUAUUUAUUUAUUUAUUUUACGAACGCUUUAAGUGCAGUUAAUUAUUUGUAAUGCUAUACGUG